GCGCCAGUGCACGCAUUGCAGGCGAAGAACUUGACGGUGCGAGCUGGAGCCGAGAAGUACCAGGUCAUCGAGCCCCUCAACGGCGACCCCUUCAUCGGUGGAUUCGAGACGCCCGUGACUAGCAGCCCCCUGAUUGCCUGGUAUCUCUCUAACCUGCCCGCUUACCGCACCGCUGUUGCUCCCUUGUUGAGGGGUGUCGAGAUCGGACUCGCCCACGGGUACCUUUUGGUGGGUCCUUUUGUGCUCACUGGACCGUUGAGGAACUCCGCUGUUAGGGGCGAGGCAGGAAGUCUCGCCGCUGCCGGUCUCGUUACUAUCCUCACCAUGUGCCUGACGAUCUACGGCAUUGCUUCCUUCAAGGAAGGUGAGC
Molecule: long non-coding RNA, 370 nt
Filed under: Physcomitrium patens
Lineage: Eukaryota; Viridiplantae; Streptophyta; Bryopsida; Funariales; Funariaceae
Description: long non-coding RNA (PPAT_LNC014725)
Source: RNAcentral